RNAcentral lists this ribosomal RNA (314 nucleotides) under uncultured fungus. RNAcentral's name for it is "eukaryotic LSU rRNA". The stretch from base 1 to 113 matches the Rfam family "5.8S ribosomal RNA", at positions 42 to 154 of the family's 154-position model. Lineage: Eukaryota; Fungi. The record is from RNAcentral.
AACGCAGCGAAGGGCGAUAAGUAGUGUGAAUUGCAGAAUUCAGUGAAUCAUCGAAUCUUUGAACGCACAUUGCGCCCCUUGGUAUCCCAGGGGGCAUGCCUGUUCGAGCGUCAUUUCUACCACUCAAGCUCAGCUUGGUAUUGGGUACUGUUUAAUUUAUUUAACAAGCCUUAAAUGUAGACGGCGAUUUAACCCCUUAGCUUAAAGCGUAGCAGUAAAACAUUUUCGCUUUAAAUAUCUAGGGUAUUAUCUACCGUAUAGUUAUUUUACUAUAGUUUGACCUCGGAUCAGGCAGGGAUACCCGCUGAACUUAA